UACGUAGGCAGCGAGCGUUGUUCGGAAUUACUGGGCGUAAAGGGCGCGUAGGCGGCCUACUAAGUCGGACGUGAAAUCCCUCGGCUCAACCGGGGAACUGCGUCCGAUACUGGUGGGCUCGAAUCCGGGAGAGGGAUGUGGAAUUCCAGGUGUAGCGGUGAAAUGCGUAGAUAUCUGGAGGAACACCGGUGGCGAAGGCGGCAUCCUGGACCGGUAUUGACGCUGAUGCGCGAAAGCCAGGGGAGCAAACGGG
Molecule: ribosomal RNA, 253 nt
Filed under: uncultured bacterium
Lineage: Bacteria
Description: partial 16S ribosomal RNA
Rfam family: Bacterial small subunit ribosomal RNA
Source: RNAcentral